Molecule: ribosomal RNA, 520 nt
Filed under: uncultured Glomus
Lineage: Eukaryota; Fungi; Glomeromycota; Glomeromycetes; Glomerales; Glomeraceae
Description: SSU rRNA
Rfam family: Eukaryotic small subunit ribosomal RNA
Source: RNAcentral
CGCAGCCGCGGUAAUUCCAGCUCCAAUAGCGUAUAUUAAAGUUGUUGCAGUUAAAAAGCUCGUAGUUGAAUUUCGGGAUCAAUAUAUCGGUCGUGCCUUGGUACGUACUGGUAUCAUUGGUUUCUCCUUUCUGACGAACCAUGAUGUCAUUAAUUUGGUGUUAUGGGGAAUCAGGACUGUUACUUUGAAAAAAUUAGAGUGUUUAAAGCAGGCUCACGCUUGAAUACAUUAGCAUGGAAUAACGGAAUAGGACGUUUGAUUCUAUUUUGUUGGUUUCUAGGAUCGACGUAAUGAUUAAUAGGGAUAGUUGGGGGCAUUAGUAUUCAAUUGUCAGAGGUGAAAUUCUUGGAUUUAUUGAAGACUAACUACUGCGAAAGCAUUUGCCAAGGAUGUUUUCAUUAAUCAAGAACGAAAGUUAGGGGAUCGAAGACGAUCGGAUACCGUCGUAGUCUUAACCAUAAACUAUGCCGACUAGGGAUCGGAUGAUGUUAAUUUUUAAUGACUCAUUCGGCGCCUUACG